Molecule: unclassified non-coding RNA, 221 nt
Filed under: Hevea brasiliensis (rubber tree)
Lineage: Eukaryota; Viridiplantae; Streptophyta; Magnoliopsida; Malpighiales; Euphorbiaceae
Source: RNAcentral
AGGAAGAUCACCAAUUGAUGAAAUAUUCAAAGAUGGCUUAAAUCUUCACUGCUUUGUGAAGGCAGCAUUGCCAGAAAGCCUUGUGUGGAUCAUGGAUCCCAACCUCCUCACAGAACAAAUAGAAGAAACAAACGCUGCAAGAACGGCAACAGAAGAAGAAAAAGAAGUAUCUAACGCUAAUGGAAACCUGAGCAGGAUGAGUGCGAAAGCACGAAGUUGUG